RNA transcript from Mandrillus leucophaeus (drill), 1664 nucleotides. It is a transcript of the gene named keratin, type II cytoskeletal 8 pseudogene, with no coding region annotated. The transcript has a single exon. The record is from RefSeq and is a predicted model, not a curated record. Lineage: Eukaryota; Metazoa; Chordata; Mammalia; Primates; Cercopithecidae.
UCUGCCUGGUCCAACCCACCUGCCUCCACUCCUGCCUCCACCAUGUCCAUCAGGGUGACCCAGAAGUCCUACCAGGUGUCCACCUCUGGCCCCCAGGCCUUCAGCAGCUGCUUCUACACGAGUGGGCCUGGUGCCUGCAUCAGCUCCUCAAGCCUCUCCCGAGUGGGCAGCAGCAGCUUCUGGGGUGGCCUGGGGGGAGGCUAUGGUGGGGCCAGUGGCAUAGGAGGCAUCACCGCUGUCACGUUCAACCAGAGCCUGCUGAGCCCUGUUAACCUGAAGGUGGACCUCAAUAUCCAGGCCAUGCACACCUAGGAGAAGGAGCAGAUCAAGACCCUCAACAAGUUUGCCUCCUUCAUCGACAAGAUACAAUUCCCGGAACAGCAGAACAAGAUGCUGGGGACCAAGUGGAGCCUCCUGCAGCAGCAGAAGACAGCUGGGAUCAACAUGGACAACAUGUUUGAGAGCUACAUCAACAACCUUAGGCGGCACCUGGAGACUCUGAGUCAGGAGAAGCUGAAGCUGGAGACGGAGCUUGGCAAUAUGCAGGGGCUGGUGGAGGACUUCAAGAACAAGUAUGAGGAUGAGAUCAAUAAGCAUACAGAGAUGGAGAAUGAAUUUGUCCUCAUCAAGAAGGAUGUGGAUGAAGCUUACAUGAACAAGGUAGAGUUGGAGUCUCGCCUGGAAGGGCUGACUGAUGAGAUCAGCUUCCUCAGGCAGCUGUUUGAAGAGGAGAUCCAGGAGCUGCAGUCCCAGAUCUCAGACACGUCUGUGGUGCUGUCCAUGGACAACAGCCACUCCCUGGACAUGGACAGCGUCAUCGCUGAGGUAAAGGCGCAGUACAAGGAGACUGCCCACCACAGCCAGGCUGAGGCUGACAGCAUGUACCAGAUCAAGAAUGCGGAGCUGCAGACGCUGGCUGGGAAGCACGGAGAUGACCAGCGGUGUACAAAGACUGACAUCUCUGAGAUGAACCGGAACAUCAGCUGGCUCCAGGCUGAGAUUGAGGGCCUCAAAGGCCAGAGGGCUUCCCUGGAGGUCACCAUCACAGAUGCCGAGCAGCGUGGGGAGCUGGCCGUUAAGGAUGGCAACGCCAAGCUGUCCGAGCUGGAGGCCGCCCUGCAGCGGGCCAAGCAGGACAUGGCAUGGCAGCUGCGUGAGUACCAGGAGCUGAUGAACGUCAAGCUGGCCCUGGACAUCGAGAUCGCCACCUAUAGGAAGCUGCUGGAGGGUGAGGAGAGCCGGCUGGAGUCUGGGAUGCAGAACAUAAGUAUCCAUAUGAAGACCACCAGUGGCUAUGCAAGUGGUCUGAGCUUGGCCUAUGGGGGCCUCACAAGUCCUGGCCUCAGUUAUGGCCUAGGCUCCAGCUCUGGCUCUGUCGCGAGCUCCAGCUCCUUCAGCUGCAUCAGCUCCACCAGCUCCACCAGGGCCAUGGUUGUGAAGGAGAUCGAGGCCCAUGAUGGGAAGCUGGUGUCCAAGUCCUCUGACGUCCUGCCCAAGUGAAGAGCUGCCGCAGCCCCUCCCAGCCUGCCCCUAUUGUGGCUUCCCCAGAGCCUGGGAGGGAGGCUGCUGUGCAGGGGAGCACAGGGAACAGGAGACCCACCUGAGGCUCAGCCCCAGCUCUCAGCCCACCCGCAGGGGAGUUUACCACUUGGGGACCCCUCUUG